This 74-nucleotide transfer RNA is filed under the name Pteropus alecto (black flying fox). It matches the Rfam family "tRNA". From Rfam's summary of the family: Transfer RNA (tRNA) molecules are approximately 80 nucleotides in length. Their secondary structure includes four short double-helical elements and three loops (D, anti-codon, and T loops). Further hydrogen bonds mediate the characteristic L-shaped molecular structure. tRNAs have two regions of fundamental functional importance: the anti-codon, which is responsible for specific mRNA codon recognition, and the 3' end, to which the tRNAs corresponding amino acid is attached (by aminoacyl-tRNA synthetases). tRNAs cope with the degeneracy of the genetic code in two manners: having more than one tRNA (with a specific anti-codon) for a particular amino acid; and 'wobble' base-pairing, i.e. permitting non-standard base-pairing at the 3rd anti-codon position. The record is from Rfam by way of RNAcentral. Lineage: Eukaryota; Metazoa; Chordata; Mammalia; Chiroptera; Pteropodidae.
GACUCCAUAGUGUAGUGGUUAGCCCAUCUGCUUUAUAUGCACAAGGUCCUGGGUUCGCGCCCAAGGAGGAGUCA